RNAcentral lists this non-coding RNA (595 nucleotides) under Trichomalopsis sarcophagae. Its description in RNAcentral is "Eukaryotic large subunit ribosomal RNA". The stretch from base 141 to 593 matches the Rfam family "Eukaryotic large subunit ribosomal RNA", at positions 3007 to 3399 of the family's 3401-position model. Lineage: Eukaryota; Metazoa; Arthropoda; Insecta; Hymenoptera; Pteromalidae. The record is from Rfam by way of RNAcentral.
CUGUGUGUGUGUGUGUGUUGUGCGAAACUCCAUUUGCUCUCGAGAAUUCGAGGGUAUUAUUGGAGUGGAGCAGAACAACAUCGAGUGAGCGCGCGCGAUCGGCUGCUGAACGAUAAUGAGAGAAAGAAGGAAAGCACACGCGCAUUGUGUUGUGUAUUGUGCNAGUACGAGAGGAACCGCAGGUUCGGACAUUUGGUUCACGCACUCGGUCGAGCGGCCGGUGGUGCGAAGCUACCAUCCGUGGGAUUAUGCCUGAACGCCUCUAAGGCCGUAUCCUUUCUAGUCAAAGGAGGCAACGAUAUCUCUAGGAGUCUCGUGAGUCGAAAGGCUCAAAACAAUGUGACACUACUAGGUGGCCGAUCCACGGGUCGGCCAUCGCACGGGCCCUAAUUGCCGUACGGAGUCGCGGAUCCUGCUUCGGGAUCUUACCGAGAGCAGGCCUGGCUUCUAGCGGUCGAUCAUGGGUAUACCAAGUUCGAUGUCGAGACUCGGAAUCGUCUGUAGACGACUUAGGUACCUGGCGGGGUGUUGUACUCGGUAGAGCAGUUACCACGCUGCGAUCUGUUGAGACUCAGCCCUUGGCUUGGGGAUUCGU